This 459-nucleotide ribosomal RNA is filed under the name uncultured bacterium. RNAcentral's name for it is "partial 16S ribosomal RNA". It matches the Rfam family "Bacterial small subunit ribosomal RNA", at positions 338 to 795 of the family's 1533-position model. The record is from RNAcentral.
CCUACGGGAGGCAGCAGUGAGGAAUAUUGGUCAAUGGGCGCGAGCCUGAACCAGCCAAGUCGCGUGCGGGAUGAAGGUUCUAUGGAUCGUAAACCUCUUUUGUAAGGGAAUAAAGUGUGGGACGUGUCCUAUUUUGUAUGUACCUUAUGAAAAAGCAUCGACUAACUCCGUGCCAGCAGCCGCGGUAAUACGGGGGAUGCGAACGUUAUCCGGAUUUAUUGGGUUUAAAGGGUGCGCAGGCGGAAUAUUAAGUCAGCGGUAAAAUUGAGAGGCUCAACCUCUUCGAGCCGUUGAAACUGGUUUUCUUGAGUGAGUGAGAGGUAUGCGGAAUGCGUGGUGUAGCGGUGAAAUGCAUAGAUAUCACGCAGAACUCCGAUUGCGAAGGCAGCAUACCGGCGCUCAACUGACGCUCAGGCACGAAAGUGUGGGUAUCGAACAGGAUUAGAUACCCGAGUAGUC